Molecule: RNA transcript, 5249 nt
Organism: Myzus persicae (green peach aphid)
Lineage: Eukaryota; Metazoa; Arthropoda; Insecta; Hemiptera; Aphididae
Gene: Prp4k
Gene name: serine/threonine-protein kinase PRP4 homolog
Exons: 19
Source: RefSeq, a predicted model, not a curated record
CAGAUAUUCUUUUCUAUGGGCAGUAGCCAGUAGGUACAAAAGCACAUACUGUGCACGCAUACUUCUCUGGUGAGAGGUCUGACGGCUCAACUCUAUAAUAACAUAAAAAACUGGGUUUGAUACUUUGAUUUUGUUCGUGUUCAAAAUGUCAACGAGAUAGGAACUAUUAUUAUUGUUGUAAUUUGUUUGUGUGACUGUGAUUUAAUUGUGUGUAAGUUAAUUAAUUUAUGAAAGUGAAAUGACGAUCUCUUUCAGGAACUGCUAAAAACAAUUCUGAGCCGUUUAUUGUUUAUUAUUUUCUUUCGUCAACAAACAUGGCAGUUGACAGUUUGUCUGAUGAUUCUUCUGCUGACUCCGUUAAGGUAAUCGAUGACACUCGAUUAGAUAAGAAAAAAAAGAAAAAGAAACACAAGCAUAGAAGUGAACGGUAUUUAAUUAUUUCUAGAAAACAUAAAAAAACAAAAAAAGAAAAUGGAGAGACCAAAUUAAAAGAUAAGAAGAAAUCGAAUGGCGACCAUAUUCAGAAUGGUAAACAAAAAAGACCUCCAUCUCCACCACCACCUGAAAAUAGUAAAAAGAAAAAAGUUGAAGGACCAGUAAUAACAGAAAUCAAUUUGGACGAAGAAGAAAUGAAUUUAGAAGAACUAAUUAAGCAAAAGGCUUUACUUCAAGCCAGAUUAGGAGCUUAUUUAUCAGAAUCAGAAGAAGCUGAUAAAACCAAUAAAAAAAAAAAGCCAAGUGCUAAAAAAUCAGUUGAAACCAUUAACCUAAUUGAUGACGAGUCAGAUGAAGAAUAUAAAAACAAGAAUAGUGAACGUGUAAGAAGUCCAUUAAAACGUUAUCAUGGUUCCAGUCAAGAAAUUAAGAAAACAAGAGAUAGAAGUGUAAGUAAAGACAUAACUCAUUUAAAGUCAGAUCGCAUGCGAAAAGAAAAAGAACGUGAAAAAGAAAAAGAUCGUGAUAAGGAACAUGAAAGGUGUCGAGAAAAAGAUAAAGAUAGACAAAGAAAAAUUAAACAUUUGGAAGAUGAAAAGCGACGUGAAAUCAGACGAAAAGAAGAGGAAAUUAAAAAAAGAGAAGACGAUUUAAGGAGGCGUGAACAAAGAAGACGAGAUGAAGAAAUAAAAGAAAUAGAAGAAGAAGCAAAAAGACGAACAGAAGAAGUCAGAAGACGAGAAGAACAGAUCAAGCAACGCGAAGAUCAAUUAAGACGGAGACGAGAUCGUAUUAAAAGUCCUAUACCUAAUAGAGACCGUGCAAGAAGUCCGCCUGGUGCUAAUAGAUAUCGGGACCGCGAUCGUGAUCGUGACCGUGAUCGUGAUAGAGAGAGAGAUAGAGAUAGGGACAGAGACAGAGACCGAGAUAAGAGAUAUAAUAGAAAAUAUGAUAGGAGAUCACAUAGUAAAGAACGAUAUUCUAGAUCUCAUAGAGGAAAAGAUAGAGGAGAUAAAUAUAAAGACAGCUUUUCUGAAGGUCUUAAGCGUGAUGAUAAGUCAUCUUCAGAUUCUGACAUUGAUGUAAAUAUAAAUAUUGCGGAAGAUGAAAACGAAGAAGAAAUUAUUGAAAAAAGAAGAAAGCAGAGGGAGGAAUUAUUGAAGAGAUUAGGAGCAAAUAAUAGUAAUUUGCAUAGUGAAGAUUCUAUGAAUCCUUCUCCACAUGGAAGCUAUGCAACUGAAACAUCUGUUCAGCAUUCUCCAGAAAUUCCAUCUCCUAAAGAAACUGAUAGAUUAUUAAAUGAUUCUGAUUCAGCAACUGAUAAAGAGACCACUAAGCCUGAUCAUGUAUUAAAUCCUGAUUUAAUAAAAGGCAAAUGGGAUAUGUUUGCAGAAGCUGAUUCAUUUCAUGCUACACAACAUACUCCUCAACCAGAUGGUAUAUCAAAUGGAAACAAGAGUGUACCAGAAAAUCCUUCUUUAACUGAUAACUGGGAUGAUGCAGAAGGAUAUUAUCGCGUAAGAAUUGGUGAAACUAUGGAUUCACGUUAUACUGUCUAUGGAUAUACUGGGCAAGGAGUAUUUUCUAAUGUCGUUCGUGCCAGAGAUGCGGCCCGCGAUAAUCAAGAUGUGGCUGUUAAGAUUAUACGAAACAAUGAAAUUAUGCACAAGACAGGAUUGAAAGAAUUAGAAAUUCUUAAACGGUUAAAUGAUUCUGAUCCUGACGAUAGGUUUCAUUGUCUCCGUUUAUACCGUCACUUUUUUCACAAACAACAUUUAUGUAUGGUUUUUGAACCUCUUAGUAUGAAUCUUAGAGAGGUGUUGAAGAAAUAUGGCAAAGAUAUUGGAUUGCACAUUAAAGCUGUUCGUUCAUAUAGCCAACAGUUGUUUUUGGCAUUGAAAUUGAUGAAAAAGGCAAACAUAUUACAUGCUGACAUCAAGCCUGAUAAUAUUCUGGUGAAUGAAAGUAAGUUAGUAUUGAAAUUGUGUGAUUUUGGAUCAGCAUCGCACAUAACUGAUAAUGAAAUUACACCAUAUCUGGUCAGUCGAUUUUACCGAUCCCCUGAAAUAAUUUUAGGUAUUCAAUGUGAAUUUGGCAUUGAUAUGUGGUCCGCUGGUUGUACUAUUUAUGAACUUUAUACUGGAAAAAUAUUAUUUCCUGGAAAAACUAAUAACCAAAUGUUGAAAUUUUUUAUGGAUUUGAAAGGAAAAAUGGCCAACAAAACUAUCCGGAAAGGAAUGUUCAAAGACCAACAUUUUGAUAGCAAUUGUAACUUUCUGUAUCACGAAGUUGACAAAGUCACAGAACGAGAAAAAGUUAUAACCAUGUCUUCAAUAAAUCCCAGUCGUGAUUUAUAUACUGAAUUAUUGGGGAACCAAAAAUUACCCGAGGAGCAAAUUCGAAAAGUUGGACAAUUGAAGGACUUGCUUGAUAAAAUACUGACUUUGGAUUCUUCAAAACGCAUUGGAAUAUCACAGGCUUUGAAGGAAAGCUAACUCGAAAAAUCAUACAACACAUAGGAAUUGACAAAAUCAUUUCUCCUCCAAUUUUUAUUUGGGUUACCGAACAGAGAGAUAGAGAGGGGCAAAUCAGAAUGGCUAUUGUAUCGAUAAUUGGUAUCCAUACAGGUAAUAAAAUGAAAUAUUACAUUUAAAACAUGGACUAAUUAAUGUGGAAAUUAUUUAAAAUACAGGCUUUCUUAUUCCAUAUGGAAUACUUCUAAGUGUUGUAGCUACUGCAGUGAAAUUAUUUCAUUUUCAUUAUUACAUAUGAACAUGAAUAACACUGUUUACUUUCAACAUUUUAUUCUACCAAGUACCUGUUUUAAUAGGUUAUAAGCAAAGUACAUAAUAUAUUGUGGGCAUUACAUAAACAUACAUUUUGUUUCGUGAAAAAUGUAUUAUUUUAAAUUUUGAAUGGAACAAAAAAGUUAAAUGAUUAUGUUUUUCCUCAAAACAUUUUCCAACAUUAAUUUGACUGAAAACAGAGAACUCGAGUUAUUAUUGUAAAUAGCUAAGUGUUUUGAAAAUCGUAAGAAUCAGAAAAAAAUUUAAUUGUUGUGUGUUUAAUUAAAUCUGUAGCUUGAAACAGAAGACUAAGAUCCUGUAUCACUUUUUUUAUUUAUUUUUUACUGAGAUUACAUGCAGGUUAAGCCCCAAUGUCAAAAAACAUUAUUUGCUUAUCAUUAGUUAUAUGUUGUGUUAACAUACCUACUUCACAUAUUUAAUUAUUAACAGGCUCAUGAAGGGUAUUGAAGAAUCUACGCUUUUUGUAAUUUCCUUCGACAUUGUAGGGAGUCUUUAUAACCUUCAUAUUAUAUGUUAUCUUAUGGUACCUAAUAUUUUAAAGUAUUAUUAACUAUUUCUCAGUCUAACAGGAAAUUCAAUACCCGGUUUUAUACUCGAACUAACAUUUAUUAAUAAAACAAUUAUUAUUAGGUACUAUUAUUAUUAUUAAUCACUUACAUUCCUACUCCUUUUAGCCUGGUUUUCCAGGAUAGUUUCCUGACGCAGACCUCCAAACUGUACUAUCUAGUGCCAACAUACCUAGUAUAACACUGUAGGCCACAUAUUAUAUGAAGGGGGAAAAUAUUCUACCACUCCUAUCACACAACACAAAUCAUAAUUUAACAAUUUUAUCUGUAAAAAAAUAUUACAUAAAUGGUAAUUUAUUUAAUGUAGGUAUUUAUCAGUAAUUAUUAUAUGAAGUCCCCCGUGGGGCUUAACCUGUUUUAGCAAAAAAAUAUAAUUUUUUAUAGUAGUUUAAGGGCCAGUAUAUUUGAAAUAAUGUGGUCAACUUAUAUGAGAUCGGCUUUUAAUUUGAAUAAAUAGUAGUCCAUUGUUAUUUGAAAAUAUAUGUAUAUAUACCCAUUUAUUUAAAUAAAAACCAGUUUUUUUGGACCCUCGCGCCAAACCAUAAAAAUAUUUCAAAAUAUAUACGUGGGUUACUGUGGCAGAUUAUUUCAUUGAUAAAUAUAAAUAAAUUUAUUCAUUUUCUUUCAAUAUUACCUAGUAACUACAGGAAUAUACCUAACAUAAAUAAUUAUUUAUUCAAAGCUUUCAAGCCACCACUAUAAACUUAAGUGACUAAAGACUAAAUAGUGUCAAGACCACAAUUAAAAAUAUACCAAUACAUAUUAAGUAUAUCUUUAAUUGUGGUUAAGACUAAUGUGAUGAUUGAAUCAAAUUUUAUUUUUAAAAAUAAAGUUAAAAUUUAAGUAGGUGAGAAGAUGUUCAACGAAUCCGCUUAAAAUGCCUUGAACAUUUCUGUCCCCAGCAAAAGACAGGUUGUAGGUAUUCAAUUCUUUAAUGAAUAUUAUAGGUACAUCUACCAACUAUUACAAUUAUUUAGUUGAAAAUUAUACUACCUAACCAAUAAAAAUAUUUUGCUCAAUUGACCUUAGUAGUUUUAGAAACAUGUAAAUUUACAAACAUAUUUAAUACUUACUAGUCAGUAGUCGUAAACAAAUCAUCACUGAAGAAGGCAGGUCUUGAUUAGUUUUUUACAUUUAAAAUAUCAAAUAAUUCUUUAUCAACUAUGAACUAAACUAAAUUUAAAAAAUGCAAUUUGUAAUUAUCAGGCUUAUAAAAAAAUAGUACGGAAGUAAUCCACUAUAACAUGGGUAAUUCGUAAAAUUUAAAAUAAUAGGAUUUUUAUCACACUCACGGUUUAGUCUUUAGACGUUCUGUAAUUCCGGCGGGUCUACACAAUAAUGCCAGUAUAAGUACUCUGUACUGUACUGACCAUAGACAUAUUAGUUAAUAUGUCUAUGGUACUGACUACUAAGAACUAGAUACUUAGUACGGCGACGUCGG